GUGGAACAACGAUUCCCGAUUCUCCCUGCAAAACGAUUAUGGUUGAGAAUAAAAAGGAAAGAUGGAAGAAGAAAAUUCGAAGAAUCGAAGAAGAGGUUCUGUUGAAAAGAGAGCCAACCCCCAAAACUCAACCUUGUUCAUGUAUUUAUAGAGUAGUGAAAAAGCUACAUUCUGGGUCAUCUGGUAUCUGCUUUGUAUCAGGCUUGUGGCUUGAGGAGCUUGUACUCACGUGGUAGCAGCUUAUGAAGCGUACGCUUGCGUUCUCGUUUUCUUCAUGGCUUUGGCUACUACGUUAGGAGUUUUCGGUAAUAGCUUUUGCAGCUUCUGUUUUUGGCUUGGCGUGAAGCUUUACGUUCAUUGUUUUAUACGCGUUGUCGUUGUUGCGCUUUGGAAACUUGCCGUUAUGUGUUGCCGCUUAUGCACUGUUCACGCCAUUUUGUGUUGGUUGUCAUGCGUUUUUCAUGUGCAGCUUGGAUUGGCAUAGCUUUAGCAACUUGCUGCGUUCUGUUGUGCUUUGGAGUUUAGCUUGUAAUAUGGUAGUCGCGUUUCAAGUUGUUUUUUCACUUUUCCCUUUGCAGCUUACGUUUCCUGGCUUAUGCUGGGCUUUAGUAAAUUGGGAUGGAUUGAGAAUAUGGGUUAUGGGCAAUGUAUUUUCGGAUGGUUGAACUAUGAAAUUAGAUCUGGGCUAUGGUUAAUUGUAAUUGGAUAUGGAGAAUUGGAUU
This is a long non-coding RNA of Lathyrus oleraceus (garden pea), 722 nucleotides long. RefSeq lists it as uncharacterized. The record is from RefSeq and is a predicted model, not a curated record. NCBI's taxonomy places the organism in Eukaryota, Viridiplantae, Streptophyta, Magnoliopsida, Fabales, Fabaceae. The transcript is spliced from 2 exons.